This 571-nucleotide long non-coding RNA is filed under the name Trifolium pratense (red clover). RNAcentral's name for it is "long non-coding RNA (TPRA_LNC004685)". The record is from RNAcentral. Lineage: Eukaryota; Viridiplantae; Streptophyta; Magnoliopsida; Fabales; Fabaceae.
UCCAAACCACCAAAAGACGUUAUGAACAAUUGCUGCCUUACCUUCCCAAUGAAGAAGAAAAUAAAGAUUGGGUCGUACUCGUAUCCUUUCAUCUUCUUCCUUUUUUGAGUCGUAUAUUCCACCGCACGCCACAUAUCGAAAUCUAUGAGGCUUGCAACUACAACAAACAAGAAUUAAGAACGGAAGAAACAAAAACAAGAAAUUAACUAAAAUAUGAUUUUUAGUUAUUCCUCCACAUGCUUAUUGUUAUUCCUUUAAAGACACGCAAGUGAUUGAAUACAAAACUCUCAUUCUAUCUAUCAACAUAUCAACACUACCAAAUGUAAUAGCCUAUUAAUGUGUUCAUAUCAUAAGAAACAUUGAUGAUUUUUUUUUUUUUUUAAUCGGCAAAAUUUAUUAAAGCUUCCUCAAUAUCAAGAAGUACAUGAGGAGCCAAAGCAGAGAAACAUUGAUGAUUGAGAGAAGAAAAAUGAAAAGCAACAAAGAUAUUAAUAGGGAAACCUGAGUACCUGACUGCUUGUUGGAAAAUGCGAUCCCUUGGUUGCUGAAGCUCAGGCGGAGAUGAUGAUGA